RNAcentral lists this ribosomal RNA (232 nucleotides) under uncultured bacterium. RNAcentral's name for it is "partial 16S ribosomal RNA". It matches the Rfam family "Bacterial small subunit ribosomal RNA", at positions 103 to 334 of the family's 1533-position model. The record is from RNAcentral.
CGGGUAGCGGAACACGUACGCAACCUUCCUUUAACUGGAGAAUAGCCCCUCGAAAGAGGGAUUAAUACUCCGUAAUAUCCCGAUUUGGCAUCAUAACGGGAUUAUAGCUCCGGCGGUUAGAGAUGGGCGUGCGCCUGAUUAGGUAGUUGGCGGGGUAAUGGCCCACCAAGCCUGCGAUCAGUAACUGGUGUGAGAGCACGACCAGUCACACGGGCACUGAGACACGGGCCCG